This 4545-nucleotide long non-coding RNA is filed under the name Pelobates cultripes (western spadefoot toad). The record is from RNAcentral. Lineage: Eukaryota; Metazoa; Chordata; Amphibia; Anura; Pelobatidae.
CAGGAAGUGCCCUCUAGUGGUUGUCUGGUAGACAGCCACUAGAGGUGGAGUUAACCCUGCAAGGUAAUUAUUGCAGUUUAUAAACUAGAAAAGCUACAAUUUCUGGGGAAAUUGUGUGAAGUGUUCUUGCCUCCACCAGCAGUCUACAACUGGAGUGGGCGGAGUAACUGGGUGGAGUGGCUUGAGUAACUGUUGUGUGGUUGGAGUGGCUGGACUAACUGUGGAAAGGUUGGACUGGGCAGAGUAACUGUGUUGAGUGUUUGGAGUGAGUAAAGAUAGUAAACAUUACACUAACCAAUUGAUUGAUCAAAUUUAAAGUGCACAUGGCAAGCUUGAUAGAGUGAGAAAUGCAUUUCAACUUUUAUUUAUAUAGCACAUUUAAUUGCAAUGUUGUUGCCCAAAGUGCUUCACAGUUACAUUAAAACAUAUAUUUAUAAAAACAUUAGCAGGUGUACAAAAGGCCCUGUCUACGACAUCACGGUUGCCAUCUUCAAACAGUCGUAUUUUUAAAACUAUAAACCCUACAGCGAAGAGCUUUAUAUUGUGAGAAUCACAAGACCCAGACCUACAUUUUGAUGCAUAGUAUGUCUCCGAAGUAUUAACAACGAAGGCACAGUCGCAGUUUAGAAAUUGCCCUUCGAGUUUGAGCUGGCUAGAGUGGAGUUUCAAUGAAUGUCAAUGGACGGCGUGAGUUGCAAACAAAUGGUCAUAUUGUGAAAACUAUCAGGACUACGGCUUAGCCGUGGACAUUUUUAGUGGCAGCAGGGAUAGCUGAACGUUUUAAUAUAAGAUUUGUGUAGGUGGGCUUGAAAAUGAGGGAGGGGCGGCAGUUUAGAAAUCAUGUCCUGAUUUUUCAGCUUUUGCCAGCUCCCACUCUAGUUUUGCUAUUCAUUCCUAUGGGACCAAUUUUGCCACAAGAACGACGAUUUUCCGUGAACCAUUUGACGAAACGUUCCACAAAGUAAUAGCAAUCCAAUCGGGAACAAUCCGCACGUUUCGGUAUAUUACUGUCUAUGUAGUGUAAAAACUGUGGGAGGUAAAUUUGGCUAUAAUAAUAAUAAUAUAUAUGUGAGAUAACAUUAAGUGGUCUUGCUAUGCAAGAACACUUAAAAACUGCAAUAAGUACAGUUGCAGGGUUAAGAGUAGUGGGAGUUGGCACCCAGACCACUCCAAUGGGCAGAAGUGGUCUGGGUGCCUGGAGUGUCCCUUUAAGUAACACAAAGAUUACGCAAACGUAUAAAAAAUUUGUGGGUUGCUUUUGGAGCCAAAAGUGAGACGGGUGAAGAAAUAAUACAACCCCUGCCAUUUAAUGCCGUGUAGAUGCCAGAGGGAAGGGUGCAUGGGUAGCAAUUUGAAGGCAUUUACCACGUCAGUUUUGCUUAGCCAUGCCCCUGUGCUAGCCUGUAAAAUGACCCCAUGGCAUGAUCGAUGGUGGCGUAGUGUAGUGAAAAUUCUUCGGAAGGUAUGAGUGAAUUAAAGCUUAGGACAGUGGAGGAAUGUGGUGCAGACAAAUCAAUGAUUAGUCUAGGUUUGAGUGAAGUCUUCCCCGUGACAACCCCUAUGGGGUUGGUUCUCCAAGAUGUGAAGGGUGGGGAAAAGAAUGGACCAACUGUGGAUCAUCUAAUGUGGAUUGUAGAUUGUCGCAUUCUAGUGUACCGGUAGGUAAGUGUACCAACCCGGUGUGAAAUCCCUCAGUCAGUCCCGUGAUAAGGUAGUCAAUGAAAUGGUGUGAUGGGUGUUGUCGUAACCGUGGGGUCAAUAAUGUGAAGGUUCACGCACGUGUGAUAUGGUUUGGGAAAAGCUUUAUUUGGGCACAUUGCCUUAGAUCGGGCCCUGAAACAGUGGGAACACACAUGCAUCAGCCUACAAGAGCUGAAACCACAAUUACCCACAUUAAAAUUGUUACAAAUCUGGGAUUUGCCUAGAAAUACAAUAUCUCUACCCAGUUUGUCUUUGGAAAUUAGAGUGAGUUUGGCCUUGUUCAAUUUCUGCCGUGUUUGGGCAGAAAUUGGUGCUAUGUGCGGUAGAUGCACACACUGCACAAGUUGGAGGCCUGAGGCCUGAAGAAUAACUCAGUGUCCAAUUUUCUCCAAUUAAUGCUUAAAUUGAACUGAGCCAGAGCUGCAGCCACCUUUGCAGAAAAGGAACGGUGGUAAUCAUAAAAAGCGGUACCACCGUAUUUGUGCCCCAGGUCCACCAUCUUGUGCAUGUAUGCAUCCAGCUCUGCUCUUUUUCCCGGGUAUACUGAGCAGUAAACAUCCCUAUAAAUCCCAAAACCCAGUACAAAUUCAGGGAUUGACAAUUUUUUGUUCAGCCUUGGGUCUCUAGCCCUUAGUACUACUGAUAUAUCCCCAUAUGCAAAUGCCCUAUUCUCUAGGACAUCCUGGGAGGCUAUAAGCAAUGACACCAGGUUGACAUCCUUGCCUUCCAGAAUGUCCUUUUAAAGGUGAGAUGGGACCAUGUGUGAAGGAUUAAUAGCUUCACAAAUCGACACGGAUUCCAAUGAAUUAACAGUUAUGUCAGCAAGAGGGUGACUGGAAACAAUUGGGUUCAUAGCAGUCUGUUUCGUACCACUUGCUUUCAAUUUAUCCAGCCUAUCGUUAAUGGUGCUGAUGGAUGACCUAAGAAGUCAUCAUGACAUGAAACGUUGGCAAUUGUGUGCCACUAGGGCCUUCCCCUGUACCAGAGUUGUCAGUGGCCGUGUUUAAAAGUCUAAACAACUCAGCCUUCCUAGCAGUAUCUGGGAAAGGGAUGCAGCGUCUUCUGCAGUGAGAGAUGAAGGACUAGCGCCAUCUGUUCCAGGAACAGGGGUACCAGGCCUAGCGGGCGUGCAGGGUAGCGAGAGUUCCUCAGGGAUAUCAGGAUUAUUUGACAUAACUGAAAAAUAUAAGGUAGCUUUAAUCAAUCACUCUAAUGUUUGAUUGGGUGGGUACUGGUAAGGAUAGCUAAAUACCAAGCGGCGAAACAAUUACACUUCAUGAUGGUGACAGAUGAGUCCCUGCUAAUUGCCAAGCGGCCGGGCCCGAGGGAAACGUAUGAGGCCACCGCACGUUGUGGCGGGUUGUUGGCCUCUCAGUGGCAGGUAAAGCAUAAGAUAGAAUGGGAGUGAUAGGUGAGGCCCUCUCUAUGCAACCAUGCGAGACAGCUUGCUAUGAUUUGGCCCGAGGGGUGUAUUCCUCCAAGAAUGAGGAAGGGGGUGUUUGUCUCGAGGGACCACUAGCCUAUGGAUUAAGACCAGAAAAUUUUCCUAAUUGGGUCACGUAACAUGGAAAAUAAUGGGUUCUGGCGUAGUACCUGAUAUGUGAGUCAGUUUGAGCUGUCGCGGUAGAAGUAACCAGUGACUGUAAGAGUCUCGAGAUGUUUACCUGUGGACAUGAGAUUUGAUAUAUGAACGUCUGACUGAAAUGUAGUGGUAUGGCCAGAUCGUGGGCCCUUAAAACAAGAACCUACCCGACCACACUGCAGAGGGUAGAUUUAAACGAAAAAGAGGACGGCAUGCGCAUUAGGUCUCCCCCGCCAGCUGAUGGCAGGGGAGGAGAGUAGGCGGAGCCUGACCAGCACCAAGGGACAUUGGUGCUGGACUCAGCUAAGUCACUGAAGGGGUUUUAAUCCCUUCAGAAACUUGGGAUGGGGGUGGCAGGGAGAGGGGCACUACAGAGUGCCAGGAAAACAUAUGCCUUUAAGGCUUUGGCUGCAUCCUGAGUGCAAACGUUUGAAUGGAACGGAAAAUACAAUACAACUAGAAUGACAUACUAUGCGGACCAGCUACACACAAGAGCAUACUAUUCCAGCCAUAUACACAAAACAACAUACUAUAAAACACUACAGUGGCCAGAUACACACAAUAACAUACGAUACAGACUUAGAUAUGCACUAUACAGGCCAGAUACGCACUAUACACAACAACACACUAUACAGGCCAGACACGAACAAUAACACACUAUACAGGCUUAAAUACGCACAAUAUCGUACUAUACAGGCCAGGAAUGCAUAACUAAAACGCAGUAUACAAGCUUAGAUACACAAAUACACAGGCCAAAUACACAAAGUAACGCACUAUACAGGCAAGAUACACACAAUAAACUAUACAGUGUAGAUGUGGGAUGCAUUUCCCAACUGGUGCCCCGCGAGAUUAAAAUUUGCUCAACCGAUCUCACUGUACAGGGGCCAUUUAAGACCGUGACCGGGCAUCUGUAGUGUGGGAUGCUGGGAGGAACUGACAGCAUGUCACUUCCUUUCAGACAAAGAGCGCGCUGAGCGGGAUAUGGAGAGUGAGCAGCAGCACGGAGUGAGUAGCACACCAAGCAAGUCACCCUCCUGCAGAAAAAAAAAGGCAAUUUACAGGAGGGUGACUGCAAAUAUCUGUGUGUACGCCUCUGAGUAUGUGUUCGUGUAACUGUAUGCAUCUGGGCGUGACACUGUGUGUAUGUGUCACUGUAUGUAUCUGUGUGUCAGUGCCAGUGUAUCGGUCAGUGUUUGCAUCUGUGUGUGUAUAUCCGUGUCUUUGUGCCAAUGUGUGUGUGUGUGUGUAUAUAUAUAUAUAUA